Molecule: ribosomal RNA, 484 nt
Filed under: uncultured bacterium
Lineage: Bacteria
Description: partial 16S ribosomal RNA
Rfam family: Bacterial small subunit ribosomal RNA
Source: RNAcentral
AUUGAACGCUGGCGGCAGGCCUAACACAUGCAAGUCGAGUGGAUGAAGGGAGCUUGCUCCUGGAUUCAGCGGCGGACGGGUGAGUAAUGCCUAGGAAUCUGCCUGGUAGUGGGGGAUAACGUCCGGAAACGGGCGCUAAUACCGCAUACGUCCUGAGGGAGAAAGUGGGGGAUCUUCGGACCUCACGCUAUCAGAUGAGCCUAGGUCGGAUUAGCUAGUUGGUGGGGUAAAGGCCUACCAAGGCGACGAUCCGUAACUGGUCUGAGAGGAUGAUCAGUCACACUGGAACUGAGACACGGUCCAGACUCCUACGGGAGGCAGCAGUGGGGAAUAUUGGACAAUGGGCGAAAGCCUGAUCCAGCCAUGCUGCGUGUGUGAAGAAGGUCUUCGGAUUGUAAAGCACUUUAAGUUGGGAGGAAGGGCAGUAAGUUAAUACCUUGCUGUUUUGACGUUACCAACAGAAUAAGCACCGGCUAACUUCGUG